This 97-nucleotide transfer RNA is filed under the name Flavobacteriales bacterium. Its description in RNAcentral is "tRNA-Asn". It matches the Rfam family "tRNA". From Rfam's summary of the family: Transfer RNA (tRNA) molecules are approximately 80 nucleotides in length. Their secondary structure includes four short double-helical elements and three loops (D, anti-codon, and T loops). The record is from RNAcentral. Lineage: Bacteria; Pseudomonadati; Bacteroidota; Flavobacteriia; Flavobacteriales.
UGGGGGGUGGCGGAAUUGGCAGACGCGCCGUCCUGUUUCGACGGUGGUGGUUACGUGAAAGCGCACCAUGGAGGUUCGAAUCCUUCCCCUCCAGCCC